This 3878-nucleotide long non-coding RNA is filed under the name Elaeis guineensis (African oil palm). RNAcentral's name for it is "long non-coding RNA (EGUI_LNC026806)". Lineage: Eukaryota; Viridiplantae; Streptophyta; Magnoliopsida; Arecales; Arecaceae. The record is from RNAcentral.
GUCGGCUACGCCCGGAUUAUCACCACAACUCGCUCUUUUUACUCCCCCGAGGCGAGAAGAAAGAAGAGGAGGCCCGCUCGCCAACUCCAACCCCUCAGCCUCCUCUCUCUCUCUCUCCCCCUCCCUUUCUGUCUCUUCCCUUUUCGUUCCCAAUCUUGCUCCCAAAAUCGAUGGGAAUGAUCUCCAAUUCCUUGACCUAGAAGUUGUUAUUUGUUUCCUUUUCUGCUUCCCUGGUUCCCAUCUCGGGAUCCAUUUAUUAUCUUCUUCGAAUCGGAGAUCCAGAUCCCGCUGUUCGGGAUGGCGGCGAUGGCCUCGCGGCGGCUCCGGGAGCUCCAGGCUCAGCCGGGGAACAAGACGUGCGUGGACUGUGCCCAGAAGAACCCGCAGUGGGCUUCCGUCUCCUAUGGCGUAUUCAUGUGCCUCGAGUGCUCCGGCAAGCACCGCGGCCUGGGCGUCCACAUCAGCUUCGUGCGCUCUGUCACCAUGGACUCCUGGUCCGAGAUCCAGCUCAAGAAGAUGGAGGCCGGCGGUAACGAUCGCCUCAACGGCUUCCUCGCCCAGUACGGCGUCCCCAAGGAGACCGACAUCCCCGCCAAGUACAAUACCAACGCCGCCGCGGUCUACCGCGAUCGCAUCCAGGCCCUUGCCGAGGGCCGUGCCUGGCGGGACCCGCCCGUUGUCAAAGAAAGCCUCACGACCGCCGGCGGCUACGGGGCCACCGGGACGAAGAAGCCGCCGAUCGGUGGCGGCUCCGGUUUCUCGGCGGCGAGUAAUGGAGGGUGGGAUAGCUGGGACGGCGACGACUUCCGAUCGUCGUCAGACAUCAGGCGGAACCAGUCGGCGGGCGAUUUUAGGGCUGGCGGGAGCAGCGGCGGAGGCGGGCGAGGAGCGCAGCCGUCGAGAUCUAGAUCGACGGAGGAUAUCCACACGAGGGCGCAGCUGGAGGCGUCGGCAGCGAACAAGGAGAGCUUCUUUGAGAGGAAGAUAGCCGAGAACGAGUCGAGGCCGGAGGGGAUCCCGCCAUCUCAGGGUGGAAAGUAUGUGGGUUUUGGAUCGACGCCGCCACCGUCUGCUCGACGGAACGAUCCGCAGGGAGAUGUGCUUCGAGAUACGGUUUCCGUGGUUUCACAGGUGAAGUUACGCGCACUUUUGUCUUUUGCUUGAUUAGAUAGUGAAGCGAUGAUCAAGCUUACAUACAACUUGGCAUUUUGACACUUUUUUAUGACUAUUACAUUUUUUUUUUCAAAUUUUAUGAUAUGUAUUUAUUUAAUCUGCAUGUUCCUUGAGAACCAACUUGACAUGAUUGGAAUAACUACAUUUGGUUAGAAAAAUGUUAUGCUUAUUCACCUGUAAAACUUAAAUAAUUUAUAUAUAAAUUGUUAAGCAUGUCCGGUAAGUCGCUGCUCAUGUUCCUUGCUUUGGGGUAAAUGUCUGCUACCUGUUUUUAUAUUUUCAAUAAUUGGAGCAGAUUUCUAGAAAAUAUUGUAGGAAGGCAGUCAGAACUGAAAGGUUUGAAAAAGUACAAGCAUUGAUCGCAAAGGGAAAUCGGGAUUGCCUAUAUGGAGGAAAACUUUUUCACCUCCCAUUGCAAGGCAUAUUGUGAUUUUGUGGUUAGCCUUGACGAUAUGGAUGAAAGAUGUGCCACCCUCUCCAGCAAUAUUGGUAGCUAGAAGGCCUUCCACCAGAGGCAUAUUUUUUGGGACAUUAAUGACAACUCAUGCUUCUGCAUUAUUACACAUAGCCAACCCAACCAACCCACAAGCCUCACAAAGGAUGAGGCCGUUGUGAUGAUCUAUCAAUCUGCCAAACCCGAUAAUGUCCUAGUACUAGAUGUAGAGAACAUAAUUGAAACAAAAACUAAUCUUUUCAGCAUGUCAACGAGAACUCGUGCUUCUGCAAUGUUAUAUGUAGCUGUCCCAACUAAUCUACAAGCCUCUCAUAGGAUCUGUCCAUUGUGAUUAUCUAUCACUUUGCCAAACCAAAACAUAUCCCAGUACCAGAUGUAGAGGACAUUUAGCUAGGGGGCCAGUUGUCGGGUGGGGAGCUUCUGACCAAUUUGAAAGUAGUGCAUGCUUCUUAAGCUUUUUGGAUGUUGGCUCUUUUUUCUUAUUAGACACUAGGAAUAACAGAUCUAUGUUUAUCCAUGUACCUUCUGUAAUGGGAUUAAGAGAUGUCGAUUUUUCUUUCAUCAUCUUUUUAAAAUGUCCAAAUUUUCUUAGAUUUCUUCUUUUUUAAAAUGUUCAAAAUUUCUCUAUUUUUUUAUAGUUGUCUAACGAAUCAAGUUCCAGAGCUCCUUUCAGAUAUUGCUAAGCUGAACUUAUCAUCAGUCAGCGAGAUCCAACUUUUCUUAAGAAAAAGAACAGGUUGUAACUGCUGCUUUUUUUAAAGGAAUGUGCUCGAUCACCUAACAACGAGAGGGAGCAUAACAUUUUGGAAAGUUUUCAUCAAGUUUCAAUUGAAAAAUACCAUGAAUAUAUGCUAUUAUAGCUUGUAUAUUGGAGAAAAGGUUUCUUUCAGUUGCUUGCGGCCACCAAAAAAACUAUUGCUAUUUUCAGAUGACUUCCUCUUAUCAUCUUUUAGAAAACUACUUGAUAUUGCUGGUCUAUUGAUGCAUGAUGAGUUCAUAGGCUUUUUAAUUUUACUUUCUGUUGGGAUAGAAAGAAGUUAUUAAGAAGGAAGGAAACGAGCAAUGAAAGAAGGGGAAAGAGAAAGGGAAGUGAAGGGGAGAAUGAAGAACAAAGAUGGGAAAGAAAAGAAGAAGAAAGUAAUACCCAUAAAGGGAGAAAUGAAAGAGGGCUAAUAAGAGGCAAAAGAAAAAUAAAGGCAGGUGUGCAGUGGCCGUGUUCCAAACUUCUGAUGAGAAUUCUGAGGUCAAAUUCUACUAGUAGGAAUCGAGGAUUAACUAGUAGGCAUUUAAAAUAUUCUAAAAAGUAUCAUAUUCUGUAAUCAUAGUUUAGAUGAUCUGUCCUGUGUUGUGGACUUCUAAUAUUUGGUUUAUAUUAUGUCAAUAGGAGUUCAAUUCAACUCUCACCUCUCUCUCUCCCUCCCUCGCUUCCCCCUCUUUCCCCUCUCCGCAUGCAUGUGUGGACAUGCAAAUAGUUACACACACACAUACACACAUAUAUACAUAUACAUGUACAUAUGCACAUGCAGACACGUUUGUUUGUAGAUAUUUAUGCACAUUGCAUGUUAUAUGUUCUAAUAUCGGCAGUCUUAAUUAGGCAUUCAUGUAUUUAUGUAUGUACAUAUGUAGCUAUAGUGUCUGCUGUUUACUAAACAAGAGCUAUUAUUUUUGCUAUCAUUUUAGCUUAACACUGUACUUGGGUCUUUUGAUUGAUAUGCUUGUUAAUUGAUUCACUACUUUUAGAAACUUCAUGGCUCAAUGCAGGUGUUUCAAAUUUAGAUUGCAGAUCUGAACAGUUCUAUUUUGUACUUACGUGUUGCAUGUCAUUCUAAAUUAUUUUGUGCUAUAAGUUUGAUCCUAUUGCUGUAGAGGACAGGCCUUGGUUCAGUUGUAAGGUUGCUUUCUUUGACCUAGGUGACAUGGAGUUGAAAUACCUCUCCAUAGCCGGCGAUAAGGCUGUGUAUAUCCAACUCUCUCUAAACCUUGCAGUAGCGAGAGUCUCAUGCACCAAGACACCUUUUUAAAGUUUGAUUAUAUUACUGUAUCCCUUUUUUUGCUCAAUUGUUUGGUUUUCAAUUGCUAGUAAAUUAUAUUUACUCAAAAAGGUGAUGGGGUGCUUUUACUUUCUAGGAAAUUUCCAUUUUUUGAUCACGAUGAAGCUUUUUCUCUUCUUCUGUACGUAGUGAGACAUAUACUGGUUGUUGCUGCAUAUCUUAUGCACUAUUUAAAUUACCUUGUUCUCAUUUUUUUUUUU